CUUCACGCAUGCUACAAUGGCCGGUACAAAGGGCUGCGAUACCGCGAGGUGGAGACGAAUCCCAAGAAAGCCGGUCUCAGUUCGGAUUGGGUCUGCAACUCGACCCCAUGAAGUCGGAGGUCGCUAGUAAUCGCAGAUCAGCAACGCUGCGGUGAAUACGUUCCCGGGCCUU
Molecule: ribosomal RNA, 172 nt
Filed under: uncultured Cellulomonas sp.
Lineage: Bacteria; Bacillati; Actinomycetota; Actinomycetes; Micrococcales; Cellulomonadaceae
Description: partial 16S ribosomal RNA
Rfam family: Bacterial small subunit ribosomal RNA
Source: RNAcentral